RNAcentral lists this transfer RNA (66 nucleotides) under Tristira magellanica. RNAcentral's name for it is "tRNA-Glu". Lineage: Eukaryota; Metazoa; Arthropoda; Insecta; Orthoptera; Tristiridae. The record is from RNAcentral.
AUUUAUAUAGUUUAAAUAAAACAUUACAUUUUCACUGUAAAAAAAAUACAACAAUAUUUAUAGAUA